GAAUUUAAAGUUAACAGACUAAGAGCCUUCAAAGCCUAAAGGAGAGGUUAAAAACUUCUAAUUUCUG
This 67-nucleotide transfer RNA is filed under the name Plethodon ouachitae (Rich Mountain salamander). RNAcentral describes it as "partial tRNA-Trp". Lineage: Eukaryota; Metazoa; Chordata; Amphibia; Caudata; Plethodontidae. The record is from RNAcentral.